This 565-nucleotide ribosomal RNA is filed under the name Streptomyces sp. 411D12. RNAcentral describes it as "bacterial SSU rRNA". It matches the Rfam family "Bacterial small subunit ribosomal RNA", at positions 93 to 671 of the family's 1533-position model. The record is from RNAcentral. Lineage: Bacteria; Bacillati; Actinomycetota; Actinomycetes; Kitasatosporales; Streptomycetaceae.
UAGUGGCGAACGGGUGAGUAACACGUGGGCAAUCUGCCCUUCACUCUGGGACAAGCCCUGGAAACGGGGUCUAAUACCGGAUAUCACUCCUGCAGGCAUCUGCGGGAGUUGAAAGCUCCGGCGGUGAAGGAUGAGCCCGCGGCCUAUCAGCUUGUUGGUGAGGUAAUGGCUCACCAAGGCGACGACGGGUAGCCGGCCUGAGAGGGCGACCGGCCACACUGGGACUGAGACACGGCCCAGACUCCUACGGGAGGCAGCAGUGGGGAAUAUUGCACAAUGGGCGAAAGCCUGAUGCAGCGACGCCGCGUGAGGGAUGACGGCCUUCGGGUUGUAAACCUCUUUCAGCAGGGAAGAAGCGAAAGUGACGGUACCUGCAGAAGAAGCGCCGGCUAACUACGUGCCAGCAGCCGCGGUAAUACGUAGGGCGCAAGCGUUGUCCGGAAUUAUUGGGCGUAAAGAGCUCGUAGGCGGCUUGUCACGUCGGGUGUGAAAGCCCGGGGCUUAACCCCGGGUCUGCAUUCGAUACGGGGCUAGCUAGAGUGUGGNAGGGGAGAUCGGAAUUCCU